Molecule: ribosomal RNA, 405 nt
Filed under: uncultured bacterium
Lineage: Bacteria
Description: partial 16S ribosomal RNA
Rfam family: Bacterial small subunit ribosomal RNA
Source: RNAcentral
AUUGAACGCUGGCGGCAGGCUUAACACAUGCAAGUCGAACGAGCGGCGGACGGGUGAGUAAUGCCUAGGAAUCUGCCUGGUAGUGGGGGAUAACGUCCGGAAACGGGCGCUAAUACCGCAUACCAUAGGAUGAGCCCAAGUGGGAUUAGGUAGUUGGUGGGGUAAUGGCCUACCAAGCCGACGAUCUCUAGCUGGUCUGAGAGGAUGACCAGCCACACCGGGACGGAGACACGGCCCAGACUCCUACGGGAGGCAGCAGUGGGGAAUAUUGCGCAAUGGGGGCAACCUGACGCAGCCAUGCCGCGUGAAUGAAGAAGGCCUUCGGGUUGUAAAGUUCUUUCGGUGACGAGGCGUUAAUCACAGAAGAAGCACCGGCUAACUCCGUGCCAGCAGCCGCGGUAAUUC